Molecule: long non-coding RNA, 471 nt
Organism: Actinia tenebrosa (Australian red waratah sea anemone)
Lineage: Eukaryota; Metazoa; Cnidaria; Anthozoa; Actiniaria; Actiniidae
Source: RefSeq, a predicted model, not a curated record
UUCAUUACAAGAUGUUAAGCUACCUAUCUAUGUAAAGAUUAGAUUAUUUCUGUGGCCUCGUGCGCGCUGGCCCCCUUUGACCGUCAAACAAACUCGCCAAAGUCACUAAUAUUAAAACUCAAACUUUUGUAACAAGCUCUUGACAACAGAAGCUGGAAUGCCAGAAAUGUUGCGUAUCUGGAGUUUUCUGGGUCUCACUGAAGGUGAUAAAGACGACAAACUGUUUCAGCGCCAGACUGUUCUAACUCGAAGGCAAAGCAUAAGUAAGGAAAAUGCUUCAAAGAAUUUUAAACGCCACACUUCCAAAUGGCUGACCUCAUUGAAAAAAGUUCAGAAGCAAAAAGUUACUUACUAUUUCGCAUGAACUGAAGUUGCUCAAAUGUGAGCAAGAUUUCCUGUACCUCAGCCAGUUUUUCCAGAUCGACUAGUACUUCCUCGGCCGAUAGUUCUAAGGUAUUACGUCUUCUGUAC